Long non-coding RNA from Daphnia pulicaria, 3547 nucleotides. RefSeq lists it as uncharacterized. The record is from RefSeq and is a predicted model, not a curated record. NCBI's taxonomy places the organism in Eukaryota, Metazoa, Arthropoda, Branchiopoda, Diplostraca, Daphniidae. The transcript has 2 exons.
AACUGUCCAGCCUUGACGACACACACAAACCUGACAUUGAGAGAAUAUAUUGUAUUACCCGCGCGCUAUAGCAGCAGCAGCACAGUGCCAGUUCUUAUGGUUCUAUGCCGGGCCGAUUACUUAACGGGAGGUGAGAGCUAAUGAUUGCUCACGGAGACAAUCUCAUUUCGACCAGUUCCCACUCGAGUGAAAAAAAAGUAGACAGAGAGAGUUCGCCCUUUACCAUAAACAACGACAGCCUUUUCCAUGUUCCUCUAUACGUUUGACUACUUUCGAUAUCCCGAGCCAUUACCUUGAGUUGCGCUAAAUUGCCCAGCACAAAUAUAUAAAUUUCCAAUAGACCAAACAGAAAAAAAAAAAGAAAAUGUCCAAAAAGUCGCAAAAAAAAAAUGGCGAUCGUGUCGCCUGUUAAUGGAGACUAUACCCACCUCGUAUAUGGUCAACAUCUUCUUUGAGAACAAGUAAACGACGACCACCAAUCAAGUCCUGGUGGUCCCCACGAUUUCUUAUUUUUUUGUUUCUGUUCCGGGGCCGCCAAACCCCCCGCACAUUCGCCUUAUUUAUCUGUCGGAUUGGGCCAAGAACAAUCGGAGUUGUAAGCGACAAGCUUACACAACCAAUGGAUGGCAGAAUUCGAACAUUUAAAAAAAAGGCCUUGCACAGUUUAUUAGUUCGUAUUAGUCAACCCUUUUAGAAAAAAAAGGCCUUUCGCUUCGGCUUUGGUGGCCAGGGGAUUUUGUCCUGGGCUAUGAUUCGAUCUACUCUCCUACUAUGGUUUUAGCCUUUAUGGAAGUGAAUCGGAUUUGGAAAGGAUAUAUACAUGUUGUAGCCUCCUAAUGUAUUUCUCCUCUUUUUUAUUUUUAUUUUUAUUGCGCCGGCAGGAUGCGCUACGGGAGGACGACGAUGGCAUUUGUUUCUUUCAUUGGAUAAAAAUGCGGAAAAGGGCUCGUGGAGUUUUUUUUUUCGGGGGGGGGGGGGGGAGGCAAAGCAUUGGGCGUAUUCCUUUCAUUUCUUAUAGAUUUUUAUUUGGAGUGGGGGAGGUGGCUCGGUUUCCUGAUGAAUUAUUUCACUUACUCACCUGAAAAUAAAAAAUCAAAAUAAAGCCAAAAGGAAACGAGAGAGGAAAAAAAAGAGGCUCGACAAAAAGGAUAUGUUGAAGAGAGGAUUUGGAACAAUUCAAACGGAAAAAGGUCAAAGAAAAUAAAGGCAGAAAGGUCCCCCCACCCCCCUCCACACAAUACACAGGUGAGGAUACACCUAUAGGCUAGUGCUAAGGGGGGUUGUAGAUUGUAUUGUCUAUAGUAUAUACAUUGUACAUUGGUGUUUUUCUUCACGAGUUCAGCACCAAACUAAACUAAAAAAAUAAAAUAAAAUAAGGGAUAGACGGACAGACAGGCCGGCAGGGGGGAGAUACUACUCUGAAACGAAAAAAGUGUGGGCCCAGUGCCAAAGUUGGUAGAGGGCGGAGCACACCAAUGCGCGGGGGGCUGUGUUGAGCUGGCGCGCUCUAUACGAAUAGCAUAGCCUAGGCUCUCUCUCUGUUGUGUCUAUUGAUGCUGGUGCUGCUGGUGGUUUGAUAUUUAUGACCAAGCAAUGUGUCAAAAGGUGUGGGCGAAGGGUCGCGCCUUCUUUUUCCUCCUCGACACAACUCGCAUAAGAACAAGACAAAAAAAAAAAUAAAAUAAAAUAAAAAAAACUACAAUAAGCCGAGGGAGGAAACCUGAAAUCCUUUUAGACAGUGAACCAGAAAAGCUACUCGCUUGUCGACAGUUUAAAACAUCCCCAAACUUUCCCCCCUCCAUUUAUAUAUUUUUUUAAAAGAACUAUCCAACCCCCUUCACAAUAACCAUCAAAACUCUUUUUCCUUUUGUUGUUUCCUACGGCUAAUUAAACAUCAGGUAGCCAGCAGACACACAAAAAAAUGGGUUUCCAAAAGAAACGCCAUUCGAAGAAAAGGGGCCUCUUUCCUGUUUCAUUGGAAUUAACUCGACGAAGAAAAACGACGAAGAGAGAAGAAGAGAGCGAGAGAGGUUCAAAGUUAAUGAGUCUUGCGGCUGCGGGGGUCAAGGAUAUGUUUGACUAGUUGAAAUAAGAAGUCAAUAGGCGACACACAGACACACAAAAAAACCAAAAACCCAAAACCCAAAAAAUAAAAUAAGAGAUAAUGGUUUUUUCGGGAAAAUAAAUAAAAUAAAACUCUGCGGGCACGUCCUCGAUUCUCUUACGUCUUUCGUGUUUUUUACCACUUUGAUUCACGGGUUACCGAGUCCACAAGGUGAUGUGUGCGCGUGGGGUUACAUGUACCCAGCAGCACAAGCCUAUAAGCCCCGGUGUCAACGUCUACAUGCGAAUGAAGAAAAUCGUGAAAUGUUAGACACUAUUAUGCAUAUAAUUCUUAUCUUAUAGAGAGACUCUCUCGGUGCGGCGGGUAUCUAAGAAAUAUCUCAGCGUGAAAGAUGGCGACAUUGAUGAUCGCGCCAGCCGAUUCAUCAGAGGGGGGAAAAAAAACGGACGGCCAUUUCACCUUACGACCCAUCCUUCAUAACACUUCUUCGCCUCUCUCUCUCUCUCCCGUUCGGAAAAAAAAACGGUUGACAAUGUCAAAACGUGUCUCGACAUCAGAUUUUGGCCGAACCAGCGGCAGACACUAUACAAUAUCGUUGCCUACUUUUUUUUUCGUUGUUGACGCCGAGGAGUUCGAAUUUAUACCGUGUCGUAUUUUCCCCUGGCCACACGACAGGUUACACACACAGGUACACACACCAUUCACGCAGUAUAUGUUGACGACGAAAUAUCGUGACCGUGAGUUGCUCCAUCCUUGUUCACCUGUUCCGUUCUCCAUCCCCCCCCCUCGAAGAAGGUGCUGUUGUUAGGCGAAGGGAAAAGUAAUACUAGAAAAGUCCCGGCCUGUGCUGUUGGAUGCAACAACCCACCCAGGUAAUAUCUAGACGCGGGAAAGCGACAUUGAAAAAAUGCAUCGAGAUGGCGCGAAGUUGUUAAAGAAAGAAAAAAAGGGAAAGGCCAAAAAAGAAAAAGAAAAAAAAGAAGAGAAAAACUUUCGCGGGAUGUUUAUUACCAAACGACUCGAUUGGCCUCUCAAUCGUUUGCAAUUUUGAACCGCAGUGAGUCGCGCGGUGCCAUAUUAUUACCACAUCGCCAAGAUUCGCCAAUAAUACCGGCCAAAAAAGAUGAUACGCUCACCACACCGUGGAUGGAUGCAGCAGCGGAUGCUGGAUUUGGGUUAUAUGCUCAUCCCAAGUCGUUCGAUGCUUUUUUUUUAGAGACCGUAAAAGAAAGAAGCGGUCAGUUUCAGACGUCACCGCAAUAAAUUUGCAUAGCGAGCGUGCGAAUCGAUGAGGUGCUUAUUAACGGCAAUCAAUCAAAAUGAAAUGCCAUUGAAACGUCGGAUAUUAUGGCGGCGGACCUUCAAUCGGAUGGCGUUUGGAAAUACGUAAUAGUACGGGUGUAUUCCAGCAUUUCUCAUAGAUAUAAGACAAAGUACAAGUAAAAACAUGUGUAAACUAUGUAGACCUUAACAAAGAAAUAA